AGCCACGCAAUGAGCACAAAGCAAACUAUUAUUUCACCUUUUACUAGAGAAUACCGUGUGCUCGUUGCAAAUAGUGGCAUAAACCUAUUUUUGGAGGGGUUCUUCCCAAUUGGGAUGGU
Camellia sinensis is the source of this 119-nucleotide small nuclear RNA. RefSeq annotates it as U5 spliceosomal RNA. The record is from RefSeq and is a predicted model, not a curated record. Lineage: Eukaryota; Viridiplantae; Streptophyta; Magnoliopsida; Ericales; Theaceae.